RNAcentral lists this ribosomal RNA (254 nucleotides) under uncultured bacterium. RNAcentral's name for it is "partial 16S ribosomal RNA". It matches the Rfam family "Bacterial small subunit ribosomal RNA", at positions 524 to 776 of the family's 1533-position model. The record is from RNAcentral.
UACGGAGGGUGCAAGCGUUGUCCGGAUUUAUUGGGUGUAAAGGGCGUGUAGGCGGAGAAAUAUGUCGGGAGUGAAAUCGUGCGGCUUAACCGUAUCAAUUGCUUCCGAAACUGUUUCCCUUGAGUACAAGAGGGGCAGAUGGAAUUCCUGGUGUAGCGGUGGAAUGCGUAGAUAUCAGGAAGAACACCAUUGGCGAAGGCGGUCUGCUGGCUUGUAACUGACGCUGAGGCGCGAAAGUGUGGGGAGCAAACAGG